This 254-nucleotide ribosomal RNA is filed under the name uncultured bacterium. RNAcentral describes it as "partial 16S ribosomal RNA". It matches the Rfam family "Bacterial small subunit ribosomal RNA", at positions 524 to 776 of the family's 1533-position model. The record is from RNAcentral.
UACGGGGGGAGCAAGCGUUGUUCGGAUUUACUGGGCGUAAAGGGCGCGUAGGCGGCCACCGCAAGUCGACUGUGAAAUCUCCGGGCUUAACCCGGAAAGGUCAGCCGAUACUGCGGGGCUAGAGUGCAGAAGGGGCAACUGGAAUUCUCGGUGUAGCGGUGAAAUGCGUAGAUAUCGAGAGGAACCCCUGCGGCGAAGGCGGGUUGGCGGGCUGACACUGACGCUGAGGCGCGAAAGCUAGGGGAGCGAACGGG